UUUAAGUGCAACCAUGAGUUUUUGCGUCCAACUUUUAUUGUUCAUUUUAUUUAAUUUUUUAUAAUUAAUAUUUUUAUUAUUAUGAGAUGAUAAAAUAUAAAUAGUACUUUGCUCGUGACUUAUAUUUUUAAUUUUUUUAAAAAAAUUUUCGAAUAAAACGGACGAUCAAAGUUGGGCUCGGAAAAUCAUGGCUGUAGCAGCU
This is a non-coding RNA of Oryza glumipatula, 202 nucleotides long. The record is from Rfam. Lineage: Eukaryota; Viridiplantae; Streptophyta; Magnoliopsida; Poales; Poaceae.